This 163-nucleotide small nuclear RNA is filed under the name Octodon degus (degu). Its description in RNAcentral is "U4 spliceosomal RNA (ENSODEG00000023019.1)". The stretch from base 1 to 143 matches the Rfam family "U4 spliceosomal RNA". From Rfam's summary of the family: U4 small nuclear RNA (U4 snRNA) is a component of the major U2-dependent spliceosome. The structure of U4 snRNA from yeast and human has been reported. Lineage: Eukaryota; Metazoa; Chordata; Mammalia; Rodentia; Octodontidae. The record is from RNAcentral.
AGCUUUGCACAGAGGCAAUUUAAUAGCCAAUGAGGUUUAUCUGAGGCACAAUUAUUGCUAAUUGAAUCUUAAAAUGGAAUCAGUUGAAAAAGUCACCAAUCAAACUGACAUAUGUACAACAUAUGUAUUUCAGCUUGCAUUGAAUUUUAAGACAUUCGUGAAU